This 654-nucleotide unclassified non-coding RNA is filed under the name Helichrysum cerastoides. Its description in RNAcentral is "Helichrysum cerastioides partial external transcribed spacer". Lineage: Eukaryota; Viridiplantae; Streptophyta; Magnoliopsida; Asterales; Asteraceae. The record is from RNAcentral.
GUUGUUGUUGUUGAUGACAUUCGUCCCAAGGUGACGUGGUGUCAUGUUGCUUGUGUAUUCUAGUUUUAAGCUUUUUGAGCUUGAAACGUGUGGAUAAUCGGUGGUGACAUACAUCACUCCUUUGGUUGAUGAAGGUCGUCCAACGAUGUGGUGGUUUGUUUAUUUUGUUCUCGCAUYGUUCGGUGCAUUCUGUGGUCAUUUUGGCUAUUAGUGGCUUGCUUGGCAAUUGGGCUUUGUGGGUUGCUACUAGUUYGGGUGUCUUCGGGGAUGUCUACCGUAAAGGUGCAUGAGUGGUGUUUGGUUUGUUACGGGUGGUUGGCUCUUUGCUUGCGCAACAACUUCCACCUGGCAUACCUCUUCAGUCUUGUGUCAAUGUUUGUUUYGCAUUGAAUGCACGACGGGUUUCUUGUGUUGCAUGCCUAAUUAAUGGUAUCGUUUGAUGAAUUGGUUUCCCUUUUCGUCUUGCGUCGCCUAUGCGAUGUGAGAUGAACCUUGAAGCAGCCUUUGUGAUCCMCACUUUUGAUGCAUACGCAUUGAUUUUGUGGCCCAUUAAGUGUUGCUCGGUCUCAUGGAUAUGGAACCUGGUGUGGGCAUGGAAUCGUAAUGGUUCCUUGUUUGCCCAAGUUUAGCUUUUUUAAAACGAUUUGUCUAUCA